CCCUAGUGGCUUAUUGGGGAGCAUUAUGCCUCCACACCGCUCCAACGGAGACGUACUUCCUGUCAAAGGGAAGGAACUUCGGUAACACAUCCUCGUCUUCAUUGGUUCCACUUGUGGUUAUCUCUAACCUUUACUUCGUCUAUGCUUAUGUUGUUGUCUAUCUCUUACUUGUCUUAGUUGUUCUUGUUGUUAGCUUCAUCUAGGUUCACCUCAUU
RNAcentral lists this long non-coding RNA (215 nucleotides) under Hordeum vulgare. Its description in RNAcentral is "long non-coding RNA (HVUL_LNC007173)". Lineage: Eukaryota; Viridiplantae; Streptophyta; Magnoliopsida; Poales; Poaceae. The record is from RNAcentral.